UCUUUUGUCGGACAGCUUAGACUGCCUGCUUCUCGGAGGUGCAGGGAGCUGCUUUCCAGCGUGGCUGGCCAGGGCUGCAGGGGAAGGUGGAGGGAGAGCAUGGACUUGGGGUGUCACUCGGAGCUGUGGGGAGUGUGAGUGCCAGAAGUCCAAACGGAUCCAGGUGUGAGUCAUUGGUCCUUUUAUGGCUGUCCUCUGGAGCCCUUUUGGGAACACGGUAAUUACUGUGUCUGAGAUCAUGGCCAUCCUUAGGGUGUUCACUUGAACCAUCUGGUCUCCAAGAUGUUCCCAGCAGGAGGCAGAGGGAUUCUUUACAGAGGAGGAGAAGAUGAUGUGACAGUGGAAGCAGAGACCAGAGUGAUGUGCUUUGUAUGCGGGGAAGGGGCCACAGGCUGAGAAGCCCCAGCAGCCGCUACAAGCUGAAAAAGGAAGCCAGUUCUCCCCUCAAAGCCUCCAGAAGAAACCAGCCCUCCAAUCGUUUAACUUUAGCCAUAAAACCGAUUGCAGACUCCUGGCCUCCAGAACCAGAAGAGGAAACAUUCGUGUUGCUUUAAGCCACUACGUCUGUGGUGAUUUGUCCCAGCAGCCACAGGACACUAACAUAACAGAUAAUAAAAUUUGUUAUUAUGUAUUGA
Long non-coding RNA from Canis lupus familiaris (dog), 635 nucleotides. RefSeq lists it as uncharacterized. The transcript is spliced from 3 exons. Lineage: Eukaryota; Metazoa; Chordata; Mammalia; Carnivora; Canidae. The record is from RefSeq and is a predicted model, not a curated record.